Long non-coding RNA from Pygocentrus nattereri (red-bellied piranha), 769 nucleotides. RefSeq lists it as uncharacterized. Lineage: Eukaryota; Metazoa; Chordata; Actinopteri; Characiformes; Serrasalmidae. The transcript has 3 exons. The record is from RefSeq and is a predicted model, not a curated record.
ACAUCUGGGGGGAAUUUUACAGGCAUGAAGCUGCGAACAAAUGGGGAGUGAAAGCUCAGAUGAGAUCUGGGAAUGAGCACAAAACCAAUUUCAUCUUGAAGGUCGCCUACUAGAUCUCUCCUUCUUGCUGACCGCCCUGGGUUCAGCACUGGAUGCAGUAAUGCUGACCAAGAUGAGAAAACCAGAGUGAUUUCAACAGGCCACUUGUUAUGCAAAGAGACAGCAGCCUUAUCUUUCAUCAUUGGAAAUAACUGCCUAGAGGCAUUGCCAAAACGGCCACUGAGUGUACAGGCUUUCUGUAAGGACUUUGGCAGUGGACCCAGAUGCUAUGGAAACCACUUUUCCAUCACGCUGUCAGUGAGCUGAAGAUCUCCUGGAUGUUUAUCUAGUUGAAAACACAGAUUGUGUAUGUGUGACGAAGGAGCAGCAAGGAUGAGUAAGACUGCUUUUGCUUUCUGAAGGUCAGAAUCUAUCAGCCCAAACAUCUGCUGUUCACACACGAACAGCCAUCCAUUCCCAGAUCUGCUUGCAAUCUUCUUGUGUCAGUGGAGCUGCAGUAUGUUGGGAGAAAUGAAGGAUGUUUCUCUGCAUUGUUGCUUGUUUAAUUUGCAUGCUGGUUUCAAAGAAAUAUAUAAAAUAUAAGCUAAUAUGUUGUUUUUGAUGUAUGGUGGUGAUAUGAGUAGCGCAGACAUGAGCAGAUGUGCAUGUAUAAUUUGUAUGUGAAGAAAAUAUUGAGCUUUCAGAUCUGCUCUGUCUCCACCGCCAGGCG